GGCCUUGGGUCUCGGUCCGCCUCAAACGAGGUGCGUACCAGGGACCUAGGGCCAUCCUCGGGGAAAACAUAUCUGUCAUUAAGUUGAUGGGUAUGGGAUCCCCGUCAUUUACUGUGAGCAAAUUAGAGUGUUUAAAGCAAGCUUUGGCUUGAAUACAUUAGCAUGGAAUAAUGGAAUAGGACGUUCGAUCUUAUUUUGUUGGUUUCUAGGAUUGACGUA
RNAcentral lists this ribosomal RNA (219 nucleotides) under uncultured fungus. RNAcentral describes it as "partial small subunit ribosomal RNA". The stretch from base 105 to 219 matches the Rfam family "Eukaryotic small subunit ribosomal RNA", at positions 748 to 864 of the family's 1831-position model. The record is from RNAcentral. Lineage: Eukaryota; Fungi.